RNAcentral lists this ribosomal RNA (253 nucleotides) under uncultured bacterium. RNAcentral's name for it is "partial 16S ribosomal RNA". It matches the Rfam family "Bacterial small subunit ribosomal RNA", at positions 524 to 776 of the family's 1533-position model. The record is from RNAcentral.
UACGUAGGGGGCAAGCGUUGUCCGGAUUUAUUGGGCGUAAAGAGCGUGUAGGCGGCCAUACAGGUCCGUUGUGAAAACUGGAGGCUUAACCUCCAGACGUCGAUGGAAACCGUAUGGCUAGAGUCCGGAAGAGGAGAGUGGAAUUCCUGGUGUAGCGGUGGAAUGCGCAGAUAUCAGGAGGAACACCAAUAGCGAAGGCAGCUCGCUGGGACGGUACUGACGCUAAGGCGCGAAAGCGUGGGGAGCGAACAGG